UUCUGGCGUCAGGAUGAACGCUAGCUACAGGCUUAACACAUGCAAGUCGAGGGGCAGCAGGAUCUUAGCUUGCUAAGAUGCUGGCGACCGGCGCACGGGUGAGUAACGCGUAUCCAACCUUCCCCUUAGUAGGCAUAGCCCGAUGAAAAUCGGAUUAAUACCCUAUGUUUUCCAAUGAGGACAUCUGAGCUGGAACAAAGAUUCAUCGCUAAGGGAUGGGGAUGCGUCCGAUUAGGUAGUCGGCGGGGUAACGGCCCACCGAGCCAUCGAUCGGUAGGGGUUCUGAGAGGAAGGUCCCCCACAUUGGAACUGAGACACGGUCCAAACUCCUACGGGAGGCAGCAGUGAGGAAUAUUGGUCAAUGGGCGAGAGCCUGAACCAGCCAAGUAGCGUGCAAGGAUGACGGCCCUAUGGGUUGUAAACUGCUUUUAUGCGGGGAUAAAGUGUGCCACGUGUGGCGUUUUGUAGGUACCGCAUGAAUAAGGACCGGCUAAUUCCGUGCCAGCCGCAGC
This 512-nucleotide ribosomal RNA is filed under the name uncultured bacterium. RNAcentral's name for it is "bacterial SSU rRNA". It matches the Rfam family "Bacterial small subunit ribosomal RNA", at positions 16 to 518 of the family's 1533-position model. The record is from RNAcentral.